CCAGCAGCUGCGGUAAUUCCAGCUCUAAUAGCGUAUAUUAAAGUUGUUGCAGUUAAAAAGCUCGUAGUCGGAAGUCGGGCUCGGGCAGGCUGUCGGCCUCGGUUGGGCAGCUUGCUUGGGUCUUCUAGCUCGGGGGCCCCGUGCCAUUUAACCGUGGUGCGCGGGAACACGGGCCGUUUACUUUGAAAAAAUUAGAGUGUUCAAAGCAGGCCUACGCUUGAAUACAUUAGCAUGGAAUAAUGGAAUAGGACUUUGGUGCUAUUUCGUUGGUUAAUGGGACCGAAGUAAUGAUUAAUAGGGAUAGUUGGGGGCAUUAGUAUUUAGUUGUCAGAGGUGAAAUUCUUGGAUUUGUUAAAGACUAACUUAUGCGAAAGCAUUUGCCAAGGAUGUUUUCAUCAAUCAAGAACGAAAGU
RNAcentral lists this ribosomal RNA (413 nucleotides) under uncultured eukaryote. Its description in RNAcentral is "SSU rRNA". It matches the Rfam family "Eukaryotic small subunit ribosomal RNA", at positions 567 to 990 of the family's 1831-position model. The record is from RNAcentral.